GUGGGGAAUAUUGGACAAUGGGCGAAAGCCUGAUCCAGCCAUGCCGCGUGUGUGAAGAAGGUCUUCGGAUUGUAAAGCACUUUAAGUUGGGAGGAAGGGCAUUAACCUAAUACGUUAGUGUUUUGACGUUACCGACAGAAUAAGCACCGGCUAACUUCGUGCCAGCAGCCGCGGUAAUACGAAGGGUGCAAGCGUUAAUCGGAAUUACUGGGCGUAAAGCGCGCGUAGGUGGUUCGUUAAGUUGGAGGUGAAAGCCCCGGGCUCAACCUGGGAACUGCAUCCAAAACUGGCGAGCUAGAGUACGGUAGAGGGUGGUGGAAUUUCCUGUGUAGCGGUGAAAUGCGUAGAUAUAGGAAGGAACACCAGUGGCGAAGGCGACCACCUGGACUGAUACUGACACUGAGGUGCGAAAGCGUGGGGAGCAAACAGGAUUAGAAACCCGAGUAGUCC
RNAcentral lists this ribosomal RNA (450 nucleotides) under uncultured bacterium. RNAcentral describes it as "partial 16S ribosomal RNA". It matches the Rfam family "Bacterial small subunit ribosomal RNA", at positions 354 to 796 of the family's 1533-position model. The record is from RNAcentral.